GGGCCGGUAGCUCAACGGUAGAGCAGCUGACUCUUAAUCAGCUGGUUGAGAGUUCGAAUCUCUCCCGGCUCACCA
This 75-nucleotide transfer RNA is filed under the name Chloroflexota bacterium. RNAcentral describes it as "Chloroflexi bacterium tRNA-Lys". It matches the Rfam family "tRNA". Rfam says of the family: Transfer RNA (tRNA) molecules are approximately 80 nucleotides in length. Lineage: Bacteria; Bacillati; Chloroflexota. The record is from RNAcentral. RNAcentral also lists the same sequence under 1 other name.